CAGGGCGCAUCCCUCUCCAGGGUUGAGGCCCAAGAGCAGAGCCGAGCACCCCACCCAGGUCCCACCUGAGACCCCUGAAGGGGCAGAAAAGAGAGAAACCACCACGAGGAGACCGGACAGCGAGCCAGGGACCCGCCGGAGGACGUUUAAGGGGUUUGAGGAGACUGUUGCGUUGCCCCUAAUCAGUUGAGAGCUUUGGGUAACGAGGGGAUGAAAAGAUCUGGCAAAUACUUCUCUAAGUGUGGGAGGGUGAGGCUGGCGCGGCACUGUGCAUUCAGGUGAGCCAUCCAGCACGCAACAAACAGGCGUUGUAAUUCUUAAAACCACCCACCUGCAUUCCAGACAAAGGACCCAGAAGAAGAGGUGACUGCUUCCCCUGCUCCCAUCCCUCCCCCUGCCCAGCAAUGUGCUGGUAAAUAAAUGUUGAACAACCAGAUCUGGAGGCGGGAGAUCUCAGCUGUAACAAAAACCAGUUUAUGUGGUGCCAGUGUUCCCACCGACCCACGGCAGAGCUGGGAAGAGAUGCGUGCACCAGCUCUUGGGCCUGUAAGGGCCAGCCCCGGCACACCUCUGCGUCAGCUCUUUGUCAGAUGCCUUCAGAAUGCGGCCAUAAUUCAAGGUGCACAAACAACCGCAGCUCUUUCUGUCCUGUUCCCACUUGCUGCCAGUCCUCUGUCUACUAUCAAAUGUCCCCGAGGAGAGAACCUGUCACCAUUGUCCUUUUAGGGGAAAGCUCUCCUUGGAGGCUAUCUCGGAAGCCACUGAGCAGCCCAUAGGCUGGCUACCUCUGAGCCAGGUGUCCUCUCCUGCUCCACCUGUGGCUAGGAUGGACGGCUCACAUGCUAGACAACAUGGUCACCCAUGCUGAAGAAACAGACUGCGUUGCUACCUGCUUGGCGGGUUGUGGUCGGGGCGGCCUCUUUCGAAAGGAGUCUGUAAGCACGACAGGCUUUCAAGCGGUGGUCUCUCUGACAUGCUGUUCUCAGCUCUUCAGUGAGAUCCUCUCGGCCACUACACAGAGCUUUGGGACAGCUUCUCCUCCACAUACCCCAAGGAACAUCUUGGGUAGAUGCCAACAACUGCAAACAGGAGAAUGGACAGGUUAGGACUGGAUAGGAUUCAAAAGCCCCUAAUUUAGGGGGAGAAACCCUAAGUUAGUACUUAAGUUCAGUGAACAUUUAUCAAGUGCCGUUGUUUCAAACCAAUAGCGAUGAUUGGAGAGUAAGGAAAUCAUGUCAUAGGAGGAUGUCAUAGACGAUCCAGGAGAAGGUGUUCCAGACUACACUCAAUCCAAACUCCACAGAUUCUGCUUUCCUAAUCUGAGAAGUAGAACGGCGUGACUCAGCUCUGCCGAGAACACUUCUAUAUUGGUAGAAGCGUGCCCCUUGCCUCAAUGUGCUGGGGUGGGAGUGGGGUCGAGGGGAACUAUUCUCAACAACGUGAGGGACACAGAGUCAAUGCUGACUGGCUCACGGAGACACUUGAAAUCUUCUUUUACACAGUGGAAGCCAUCCCUUUUGUUAAUUCUGGAGAUAGUUGAUGUAUUCCCACGAUGGAUGCACUACCCGAUUCUCCCAGCUUUGGAUAUGUGGCUGCGCUACAACAAACAAUAACUAUUUUGACAAGAUUUUCAAUAUUGUAGACCAUUAAAUAAUCCUCUCUAGACCAGCAAAGCUGCUUGACUGUUAGCAAGAUCGUAUCACGUAAAGUGAUAUAUGUUACAUCAACCAUAUACACCUACAGAAGAAAAGAGAGCGAAGGGGAAGGAGCGAGAAUGAACAGUUGAAACUGCACAGGAAAAUUCUGAUGGGAGACUUGAUUCUACUUUCAUUCAGUCUCUUAGUGCUUCUUCUGUCGAGAGCAUCUAACCCCACAGUGUGUGCAUCCAGUGUUUACAGGUGCUAGUGUCUCACCUGUGGAGGCUGAAAGGUCAAAACGACAAGGAGAAAGCAGUCUGGUUUCAACCCACUCCUUUUGUAAACAGAGGAGCAGACUAGGAUUCGGAACUGAUGAUCACUCGUACCCAAGAACAGCGCAUGGUAAAACCAGAAGGCCCACAGUGCAUACGGCUGGGGAGCAUUCUGGAGAAGACAGGUGGAGGAAAUACUAAGGUCAGCCUUGAUGAUCGACCCGUGGCUUAGCGAAGGCUGCCUCGGAGCAGAAGUGAUAUCAGUUUACCUAUCUAUUAAAUCACCAUCAAAAAAAGAAUAUCUCUAUUGAACCAAGGCACCAAUCACAAGAGUGAGAUUACUUUUCUUUAAAGAACACAAGUGAUUUUCAAGGACAGGGGCAAUAAGGAAGGGAUAAGGAUUGUGGGUGAUAGCCUCUGAUGCUCAGAUGCUUGGUCUCAGGCCACGGUGACCACCAAUGAACUGAUGGAUCUGCAUCUCGAGCAACAGCAAGAUAUUAUGGAGGAGGUCUUCUCUGCAGAGGAGAAAAAGGCGGAGGAAACUCUCACCUCCAAUGAGAUCAGGGAGAUGUGUAAAAUGUGGGAAACAGUGCAAUUUUGUAGAAAAGCACCACCUGAAUAAGGCUGUAGCAAUGAGAGCAAUGAAUGUUUAACGACAAUGUGGUAUCACGUUUCCACGAAAUCCUCAAAAGGAGGCAAAAGCAAGUGUCACUGAAUAGGUUCCUUGUUAAAGCUGCACCAAAAGAAAAAGAUUCCAUUGAGCCAAAAGACAGCAGUGAUUCCGUUAGUGAUAGUGAAAGUCGCCCUACACAAUAACUCCCCUCUCGUCUCCUUCACACCAGCCAUGAAGGUUUUCAAAGGUUUCUAGAUCUACUCCACAUCUCAUUUUUCUAUGAUCCAGGAAAAUUUCUAAUCAGUUAUCAGAGAAUCAUAGAGAACGCCAGAACGUUAUGUCAAGUAACAAUUAUGUAUUUUAGAAAGAUAACCUUUUCAAUUUAAGGAGCAUGUGCAGGCUUCCAAUGUCCACCCACUCAUAGGAAAAAAGAGUGCGACCACCUUGAGGACUGGGCCAUGUCUUUUUCAUCUUUGCAUCCCUAACAAGUAACAAUACUUGACCUUUGUUAGCAAUCAAUAAAAGUCUACCAACUGACUGAUUAACCAAGUCUUUUUUUUUUUUUUACUUGAUUAAACCAUUAAAAAAUCUAAACCAAUGCUAUUCAAAGUAGCUAGCCCUUAAACUGUUGGUUUAUAAUGUGAUACGGAGUUUGAGCAGAAUGUGUAAAAGAACAGCUUCCUUUUUUGAGAAAGUCUUGCUAUGAAAAAACUGCUGCUUUAGUGACACAGCUGAUGUAUAUAGUCUUGCCCCCCUUUGAUCCAAACACUUGAGAGUCAGAAAAAGCCAUUUUCAUAAAGAAAAGGAAGAUGCUGAGGAAUGGAUGGUUAAAGUUAACUUUAGGGUCUUCAUCCAUCUUUAGGACCAUACAUACAUAUAUUUACAGAUCCCCAAAAUGACUUAAAAUAAAGGCACCUAUUUUAACUGGUUAAAAAAAAAAAUAAAGACACAGGGCAUUAAAAAGU
Long non-coding RNA from Panthera uncia (snow leopard), 3487 nucleotides. RefSeq lists it as uncharacterized. NCBI's taxonomy places the organism in Eukaryota, Metazoa, Chordata, Mammalia, Carnivora, Felidae. The record is from RefSeq and is a predicted model, not a curated record. The transcript has 8 exons.